RNAcentral lists this long non-coding RNA (281 nucleotides) under Gossypium raimondii (Peruvian cotton). Its description in RNAcentral is "long non-coding RNA (GRAI_LNC001027)". The record is from RNAcentral. Lineage: Eukaryota; Viridiplantae; Streptophyta; Magnoliopsida; Malvales; Malvaceae.
GUAUACAAAUAAAUACCAAAUAAAAUGUCCAAAAUUACAGACUAAAAUCAAACUUAAACUCGAAUGGCCCAAUUACAGUAGCCCGAUACCCCGGCCCAAUUACAUUGAAGCCCAAAACAGAAAAGGAACCAGAAACCCUAGCAGUUAGGGCGAGCCUCCAGCGCUGCAGCCAUCAGGGCAUUCCCUCAGCCUCACGCGCGCCUCCGUACGUGCCACGUCCACCCUCCAUAUGUCGUACCUGCAGAAAGGGCAAACAAACGCAACAAGGCAGAGAAAGCAAA